RNAcentral lists this ribosomal RNA (512 nucleotides) under Aeromachus stigmata. RNAcentral describes it as "partial 16S ribosomal RNA". The stretch from base 386 to 512 matches the Rfam family "Bacterial large subunit ribosomal RNA", at positions 2473 to 2600 of the family's 2925-position model. The record is from RNAcentral. Lineage: Eukaryota; Metazoa; Arthropoda; Insecta; Lepidoptera; Hesperiidae.
GUCUUUUUGAUAAUAAUUUAAAGUCGAAUUUGCCCACUGAUUUUAUUAAAGGGCUGCAGUAAAUUGACUGUACAAAGGUAGCAUAAUCAUUAGUCUUUUAAUUGAAGACUUGUAUGAAAGAUUUGAUGAAAUAUAAACUGUCUCUUUAUUAUAAAUAGAAAUUAAUUUUUUAGUCAAAAAGCUAAAAUUUUUUUAAAAGACGAGAAGACCCUAUAGAGUUUUAUAAUUUAUUUAAUUGAAAAUUAUUAUUAAUAUUAUAUAAAAAUUAAAUUAAUUAUUUUAUUGGGGUGAUAAGAAAAUUAAAUUAACUUUUUUUUAAAUAAAUUCAUAAAUUAAUGAGUAGAUGAUCCAUAUAAUUAUGAUUAUAAGAAAAAAUUACCUUAGGGAUAACAGCGUAAUUUUUUUUUUUAGUUCAAAUAAAAAAAAAAGUUUGCGACCUCGAUGUUGGAUUAAGAUAUAAUUUAAAUGUAAAAGUUUAAAAUUUUGAUCUGUUCGAUCAUUAAAAUCUUACA